Molecule: ribosomal RNA, 434 nt
Filed under: uncultured Alphaproteobacteria bacterium
Lineage: Bacteria; Pseudomonadati; Pseudomonadota; Alphaproteobacteria
Description: bacterial SSU rRNA
Rfam family: Bacterial small subunit ribosomal RNA
Source: RNAcentral
UUCGACGCAACGCGCAGAACCUUACCAGCCCUUGACAUCCCGGUCGCGGAUCGCAGAGAUGCUUUCCUUCAGUCGGCUGGACCGGUGACAGGUGCUGCAUGGCUGUCGUCAGCUCGUGUCGUGAGAUGUUGGGUUAAGUCCCGCAACGAGCGCAACCCCCGCCUUCAGUUGCCAACGGUUCGGCCGUGCACUCUGGAGGAACUGCCUGUGACAAGCAGGAGGAAGGUGGGGAUGACGUCAAGUCCUCAUGGCCCUUAUGGGCUGGGCUACACACGUGCUACAAUGGCGGUGACAGAGGGAUGCAAUACCGCGAGGUGGAGCAAAUCCCUAAAAGCCGUCUCAGUUCGGAUUGUUCUCUGCAACUCGAGAGCAUGAAGUUGGAAUCGCUAGUAAUCGCGGAUACAAGACUCGCCGCGGUGAAUACGUCCAGGCUU